GCGGGCGUAGUUCAGCGGUAGAACACCGGACUGUGGCUCCGGCUGUCGUGGGUUCGAUCCCCACCGCCCGCCCCA
RNAcentral lists this transfer RNA (75 nucleotides) under Terriglobia bacterium. RNAcentral's name for it is "tRNA-His". It matches the Rfam family "tRNA". Rfam says of the family: Transfer RNA (tRNA) molecules are approximately 80 nucleotides in length. RNAcentral also lists the same sequence under 2 other names. The record is from RNAcentral. Lineage: Bacteria; Pseudomonadati; Acidobacteriota; Terriglobia.